This is a long non-coding RNA of Lutra lutra (Eurasian river otter), 190 nucleotides long. RefSeq lists it as uncharacterized. Lineage: Eukaryota; Metazoa; Chordata; Mammalia; Carnivora; Mustelidae. The transcript is spliced from 3 exons. The record is from RefSeq and is a predicted model, not a curated record.
CCACUGAGCCACCCAGGUGCCCCAGCCCUUGUCUUUUUAAGACUGGGAGACAGGAGCAGAGAGACAGACCUUCUCCAACCCCUGCCUCCUUCAGAUCUCCAGUUCAGGUGUAAGAGGGAAGAUUCCAGGAACUCAAGCCCUGUUACUGUGCCCUAGUUCAAGGACGGGCCUCUGUCUAUCUCCGUUGUAC